This 543-nucleotide ribosomal RNA is filed under the name uncultured delta proteobacterium. RNAcentral describes it as "bacterial SSU rRNA". It matches the Rfam family "Bacterial small subunit ribosomal RNA", at positions 1 to 523 of the family's 1533-position model. The record is from RNAcentral. Lineage: Bacteria; Deltaproteobacteria.
CCGACUAGAGCUUUGAUCCUGGCUCAGAACGACGUUAGCGGCGCGGCCUAACACAUGCAAGUCGAACGGCGAUUUGGGGGGCAACUCCAGUCCGAGUGGCGCACGGGUGAGUAACACGUAGUAAUCUACCCCCCGAGUGGUGGAUAACCCUCCGAAAGGAGAGCUAAUACAGCAUGAGACCACGGCUUCGAAAGGAGCUGAGGUCAAAGCGGAGGAUCGCAAGACUUCGCGCUUGGGGAUGAGCCUGCGGCCCAUCAGGUAGUUGGCGGGGUAAUGGCCCACCAAGCCAUAGACGGGUAGCUGGUCUGAGAGGAUGAUCAGCCACACUGGAACUGAGACACGGUCCAGACUCCUACGGGAGGCAGCAGUGGGGAAUCUUGCGCAAUGGACGAAAGUCUGACGCAGCGACGCCGCGUGGGUGAUGAAGGCCUUCGGGUUGUAAAGCCCUGUGGGGAGGGACGAAUAAGUUCCGGUCAAUACCCGGAGCGAUGACGGUACCUCCUUAGCAAGCACCGGCUAACUCUGUGCCAGCAGCCGCGGUAA